GGGGAUGACAGGCUUCGACGGAAGAGAUUGGCCCCGGAUUGCGAGCCGAGAGGCGCCGUUCUCGUAAAAUCAGCGCAAAACUUUAAGUGCCAACCGCACUGACUAUGCUGCUCUUCCCCUCGCUGCAUAAGCCUGGGUAAGGACAGACGAUUGCCUCGAUGCAAUCUCGUUCAUCUCCUCCAAACUCCUGCUGGAGGGGCAUGAACGUCAGAAAGCAGGAGUACAGCCGGAUGACGCCGCUGCUCCGGCCUAAGAGGAACUUUCGGGUUCCAGCGGCUAAUCAGCUGUCGCUUUGGGCAGUUGUAGCUCUGCUGAUGAAACCUAACAAUUGCCUACGCUUGUAGACAUCCGAGUGGUUGAAUCUUUCGGACGCGGGUUCGAUUCCCGCCAUCUCCACCU
This 399-nucleotide transfer-messenger RNA is filed under the name Chloroflexota bacterium. Its description in RNAcentral is "Chloroflexi bacterium transfer-messenger RNA". It matches the Rfam family "transfer-messenger RNA". From Rfam's summary of the family: Bacterial tmRNA, also known as 10Sa RNA or SsrA, is named for its dual tRNA and mRNA-like properties. Its role is to liberate the mRNA from a stalled ribosome. Lineage: Bacteria; Bacillati; Chloroflexota. The record is from RNAcentral.